UACAGAGGGGGCAAGCGUUGUUCGGAAUUACUGGGCGUAAAGGGCGCGUAGGCGGCCUGUUAAGUCGGACGUGAAAUCCCUCGGCUCAACCGGGGAACUGCGUCCGAUACUGGCGGGCUUGAAUUCGGGAGAGGGAUGUGGAAUUCCAGGUGUAGCGGUGAAAUGCGUAGAUAUCAGGAGGAACACCGGCGGUGUAGACGGCUUUCUGGACCGUAGCUGACGCUGAGACACGAAAGCGUGGGUAGCAAACAGG
Molecule: ribosomal RNA, 253 nt
Filed under: uncultured bacterium
Lineage: Bacteria
Description: partial 16S ribosomal RNA
Rfam family: Bacterial small subunit ribosomal RNA
Source: RNAcentral